RNAcentral lists this unclassified non-coding RNA (200 nucleotides) under soil metagenome. RNAcentral describes it as "partial contains internal transcribed spacer 2 and large subunit ribosomal RNA". The record is from RNAcentral.
CAACCAUCAAGCCUGGCUUGUCGUUGGACCCCUUUGCGACUGAAACAUGUAGCAGGUCCGAAAGAUAAUGACGGUGUCGUGUUUGACCCUAGAUGCAACGAGCUUUUCAUAGCACGCAUUGAAGUGGUCGGUCGACCCGGUCUUGACCAUCAUUUUCUAAGGUUGACCUCGGAUCAGGUAGGAAUACCCGCUGAACUUAA